RNAcentral lists this unclassified non-coding RNA (681 nucleotides) under Hevea brasiliensis (rubber tree). The record is from RNAcentral. Lineage: Eukaryota; Viridiplantae; Streptophyta; Magnoliopsida; Malpighiales; Euphorbiaceae.
GUGAUCUCAGAUUCUCUGCCUGCUGAGAAGAAUGAGCAACUAGUGAAAUCAAAUUCAGUAGCAAAUAACUCUCAGCCUACAGAGGCACCAAAGGAUAUAUGCAUGUCAUCUGAACUGCCUUCAGAAGCAAAAGAGUCUCAGCAGCCAGUUGCCUCAAAUUCAGUUGUUGGAAAAGGAGCAACUGCAGCUGAGGACCACAAGGACAGUAAAAAAUGGAAGCCUAAUCGUGAAGAGAUUAAAGAGGACAACCGCUUCUAUAAAUUUAAGUGUGCUGCAGUUUCUGCUCUUUCAGCAGCAGCAGUGAAGGCAAAACUUCUUGCAAACCAGGAAGAAGACCAAAUCCGUCAACUUGCUGCAUUGUUGAUAAAAAAGCAGGUGCAUAAGCUGGAAAUGAAGUUGGCUUUCUUUAAAGAAAUGGACCUCGUGACAAUGAGGGUUAGGGAGCAACUUGACAGAUUAAGGCAAAGGCUGUACCAUGAGCGAGCACAAAUAAUUGCAGCCCGACUUGGGUUACCAGCAUCUUCAUCUAGAGGAAUGCCACCAACAUCACCCACCAACAGAAUUGCAACGAACUGUGCAAACUCAAUUCCGAGGCCCCUUAUGAGCAUGACUUCCCAAAGGCCGCCAAUUGCAAGACCCAUGGGGACAUUGUCUCCUACCCCUUCUAACCCAUUUGUAUCA